Molecule: small RNA, 37 nt
Organism: Legionella spiritensis
Lineage: Bacteria; Pseudomonadati; Pseudomonadota; Gammaproteobacteria; Legionellales; Legionellaceae
Rfam family: abiF RNA
Source: Rfam
CCCGCCACGCCUCUUCACAAUGCGAACCACGGCGGGU